This is a long non-coding RNA of Oreochromis aureus, 651 nucleotides long. The record is from Ensembl. Lineage: Eukaryota; Metazoa; Chordata; Actinopteri; Cichliformes; Cichlidae.
AGUGAACCCAGGUUGUGCUGAGCUUGUGCUGGUGAGGUGGAUGGUGUGCUUACAAAACAACCCAAAACCGGAAUCCAUCAGGUCGAUGACAAAAGGGCAACAAACAGACAAAAGAUAGACAAAGAUGUACACCCCCCUCUAUUUGGAAGCAUCCAGUAUCACAGUAGAAACAUCCAUAGUACAUCAUCUAUUUCCUCCACGGGACCCAUCCUACCUCCUGAAACUUUUAUGUGUAGCCCUGUAUGUAUGUAUACAUUUCCAACGCUCAUCAGUAAGAAUCAACUGCACACGCACAGCCAGCUCAAUCCACCCAGGACCAAACAAAUGAUGCUGCUUCUACUUGGACGGAACUAAAACUCAACUUGUUUAACACAAUUAGUUGACUGCAGCCAACUGUCACUCAGGGCAACAUAUGGCCCUAAAAUGCUCUUAAGCAGACUAACUGUGGAUAGUAAUGAAGCACAGCAGGACCCAGUGAAGACCAGCCAAUUAACUUGUUGGUCAUCAAUUUCAUGAAGGACUGGAUAUUUUAUAUCCUGACUCAAGAGUGCACUCCAGUGGGAAUACAAAAUACCACAGCUGCGUAAUGGAAAAAAAAGGAAGAAUUGGUGUUAAAUUAAAAAUGUUCAAUAAAAUGAGAUAACGGAAGGG